This 27-nucleotide small RNA is filed under the name Bombyx mori (domestic silkworm). RNAcentral describes it as "ovarian small RNA-14548". Lineage: Eukaryota; Metazoa; Arthropoda; Insecta; Lepidoptera; Bombycidae. The record is from RNAcentral.
CGUAUUGCUAAGGUCAUGCCAACGGAA